RNAcentral lists this ribosomal RNA (1537 nucleotides) under Salmonella enterica. Its description in RNAcentral is "partial 23S ribosomal RNA". It matches the Rfam family "Bacterial large subunit ribosomal RNA", at positions 129 to 1709 of the family's 2925-position model. Lineage: Bacteria; Pseudomonadati; Pseudomonadota; Gammaproteobacteria; Enterobacterales; Enterobacteriaceae. The record is from RNAcentral.
CAGUGUGAUUCGUCACACUAUCAUUAACUGAAUCCAUAGGUUAAUGAGGCGAACCGGGGGAACUGAAACAUCUAAGUACCCCGAGGAAAAGAAAUCAACCGAGAUUCCCCCAGUAGCGGCGAGCGAACGGGGAGGAGCCCAGAGCCUGAAUCAGCAUGUGUGUUAGUGGAAGCGUCUGGAAAGGCGCGCGAUACAGGGUGACAGCCCCGUACACAAAAGCGCAUGUGCUGUGAGCUCGAUGAGUAGGGCGGGACACGUGGUAUCCUGUCUGAAUAUGGGGGGACCAUCCUCCAAGGCUAAAUACUCCUGACUGACCGAUAGUGAACCAGUACCGUGAGGGAAAGGCGAAAAGAACCCCGGCGAGGGGAGUGAAAAAGAACCUGAAACCGUGUACGUACAAGCAGUGGGAGCACCCUUUGGGUGUGACUGCGUACCUUUUGUAUAAUGGGUCAGCGACUUAUAUUCUGUAGCAAGGUUAACCGAAUAGGGGAGCCGGAGGGAAACCGAGUCUUAACCGGGCGUUAAGUUGCAGGGUAUAGACCCGAAACCCGGUGAUCUAGCCAUGGGCAGGUUGAAGGUUGGGUAACACUAACUGGAGGACCGAACCGACUAAUGUUGAAAAAUUAGCGGAUGACCUGUGGCUGGGGGUGAAAGGCCAAUCAAACCGGGAGAUAGCUGGUUCUCCCCGAAAGCUAUUUAGGUAGCGCCUCGUGAAUUCAUCUCCGGGGGUAGAGCACUGUUUCGGCUAGGGGGCCAUCCCGGCUUACCAACCCGAUGCAAACUGCGAAUACCGGAGAAUGUUAUCACGGGAGACACACGGCGGGUGCUAACGUCCGUCGUGAAGAGGGAAACAACCCAGACCGCCAGCUAAGGUCCCAAAGUCAUGGUUAAGUGGGAAACGAUGUGGGAAGGCCCAGACAGCCAGGAUGUUGGCUUAGAAGCAGCCAUCAUUUAAAGAAAGCGUAAUAGCUCACUGGUCGAGUCGGCCUGCGCGGAAGAUGUAACGGGGCUAAACCAUGCACCGAAGCUGCGGCAGCGACACUGUGUGUUGUUGGGUAGGGGAGCGUUCUGUAAGCCUGUGAAGGUGUGUCGUGAGGCAUGCUGGAGGUAUCAGAAGUGCGAAUGCUGACAUAAGUAACGAUAAAGCGGGUGAAAAGCCCGCUCGCCGGAAGACCAAGGGUUCCUGUCCAACGUUAAUCGGGGCAGGGUGAGUCGACCCCUAAGGCGAGGCCGAAAGGCGUAGUCGAUGGGAAACGGGUUAAUAUUCCCGUACUUGGUGUUACUGCGAAGGGGGGACGGAGAAGGCUAUGUUGGCCGGGCGACGGUUGUCCCGGUUUAAGCGUGUAGGUGUGUGUUCCAGGUAAAUCCGGUUCACUUUAACACUGAGGCGUGACGACGAGGCACUACGGUGCUGAAGCAACAAAUGCCCUGCUUCCAGGAAAAGCCUCUAAGCAUCAGGUAACAUCAAAUCGUACCCCAAACCGACACAGGUGGUCAGGUAGAGAAUACCAAGGCGCUUGAGAGAACUCGGGUGAAG